Ailuropoda melanoleuca (giant panda) is the source of this 95-nucleotide small nucleolar RNA. Its record names the gene U3. It matches the Rfam family "Small nucleolar RNA U3". From Rfam's summary of the family: Small nucleolar RNAs (snoRNAs) are involved in the processing and modification of rRNA in the nucleolus. There are two main classes of snoRNAs: the box C/D class, and the box H/ACA class. NCBI's taxonomy places the organism in Eukaryota, Metazoa, Chordata, Mammalia, Carnivora, Ursidae. The record is from Ensembl.
GAGGCUAUACUUUCAGGGAUCAUUUCUAUAGUUCGUUACUAGAGAAGGUUCUCUGGACAUGUACGAUAUCCAGAAAACAAAACCAAAAACAUUGU